RNAcentral lists this transfer RNA (75 nucleotides) under Bacteroidia bacterium. RNAcentral describes it as "tRNA-Ala". It matches the Rfam family "tRNA". From Rfam's summary of the family: Transfer RNA (tRNA) molecules are approximately 80 nucleotides in length. Their secondary structure includes four short double-helical elements and three loops (D, anti-codon, and T loops). Further hydrogen bonds mediate the characteristic L-shaped molecular structure. tRNAs have two regions of fundamental functional importance: the anti-codon, which is responsible for specific mRNA codon recognition, and the 3' end, to which the tRNAs corresponding amino acid is attached (by aminoacyl-tRNA synthetases). tRNAs cope with the degeneracy of the genetic code in two manners: having more than one tRNA (with a specific anti-codon) for a particular amino acid; and 'wobble' base-pairing, i.e. permitting non-standard base-pairing at the 3rd anti-codon position. The record is from RNAcentral. Lineage: Bacteria; Pseudomonadati; Bacteroidota; Bacteroidia.
GGGGCAUUAGCUCAUCUGGCUAGAGCGUAUGACUGGCAGUCAUAAGGUGACGAGUUCGAGUCUCGUAUGCUCCAC